This is a non-coding RNA of Phoenix dactylifera (date palm), 1642 nucleotides long. Lineage: Eukaryota; Viridiplantae; Streptophyta; Magnoliopsida; Arecales; Arecaceae. The record is from RefSeq and is a predicted model, not a curated record.
UAAAAGAAUUGAAGAUUUCUUUCGAUCCCCCGUCCCCGUCGUCUGCAAAUCUAUUCUCUUCGGACUCCUCGUUUCUUCCCCGCCCCAUCAUCACCCAACGGCGGUCGCGAUUGCUGUCUCCGCCGAUCUCCGCCGCCCGUCUCGGCCCGGGUGGGGGUUCGAUGGCGGAGCUCGCCCAAAGAAACGUCGAACGGGUGCAGACGACUCCAACGUGCAUCCGUACGUUCGUAUAUCUCGCUCUCGAGCACCGAACGGUUGAUGGAUAAAGAAGCGAAGGGACGGAAGGCGAAAAGAAAUUGUCAGAGGAAAGAGAGAGAGAGGCAGUUACGUGCAGGUGGUUUGAGACGUGCGGAUUUUGAGGUAGAGAAAGGUGAUUUUCCUGUAGUUGUCAUCAGCAACUACUCGGAUGCUAUGAGAAGACAUGUCUCCACAUAUGCAAUUGAAAUCUGUUGCAAGCAUUGAUUAUGUUCAAAUCAAAGUAAUAAAUAUUGUAAAGGUUUGAUAUUUGAAAAUAAUUACCCUUGCUUGUGUCCCAUCCGUUUGCUGUUGAGGUUGGCAUAACUCGAGAUGAAUCGGUACAUUUGAGUUCUCAGUCAUAGAUCUUAAAUGUCAUUGCCCUGGGGCGUGCUGGCUAGUGGCUAGCAUAUUACAUGCUGUGUUGAUCCACAUGUCAUGCGCCAGAACAAAAAAAUAUUAAGAAAGGACUUAAAAUGCUAUGAUCUUCUAGAAGUAUAUGGAGAAUUGAAGCUAUGAUCUUGUAAGAACCUUUCUGCUCAUUUGGUUUGAGUUUGUGACAUGGCCGUGAUUAUUGGGAUUCUCUUAAGAUGGCUAGAGGCACUGAAAUCUAUAGUUUAGAUUGCAAGAAAUGCACUGCAUCUUUUAUUUUUUGAGUUGGUUAUAUGUCAUACUUAUCUUAAAAAUUCCUUUGUCCUUUCUAGGGCUCUUUAAUAUGUGUCAAUAUCUCAUGGCUUGGGGCCAUUACAAGUUUUUCCAUGGAAUAGGAUGCGCCACCAUCCCAGUCAGUCCCAAUACUUGGGAUGGUGCCUCAUCGGAAUGUCCCGUACUAAUGUAUCACUGGAUGGUUUGGUUACUGGACUAUCCUGCAUUUAUUCAUCCAGUCACUCUCAGAUAUUCUGUUAAUGAUCAAAGUUAUUUUACUUAGCAUAUUAUUAUAAAUAAUUUUACUAUUAUGUUGACCCCUUUUUUACUGUAUUUAGAUAGUUAGACACCCUUGUUUUCUCUGUUGAGUAGCUACUGAUGCCUUGAGUUUGUGUUUCCUUGAUUUGUUUGCAUAUGUUGGAUUUUAAAUUGUCGCCUCAAUUUUAAUGGUUGACCUUUUAUGUUGAUCUUUUAAUAAGAUAUUUGACGUGGAGUUUUUUAUGAAUAUGUUUAUGGUCCGCAGGUAUUAUAGAUUAUGAUGGUACUGAUAUUUUUGCUUUCUUGGCAGUCAGGGAAGUUGCAUUAUAUCAGGUUCGAGAUAGAUUAUACAUUUUCAAACAACCUGACUGAUGGUAAAUUAGAUGAUGCCAUGAUAUUGUUGGUCAGCUGUUUCCCUACUUCACUGUGUGAUUUGCUUACUCUUUUAGAUGAUUCUUUUUGCAAUUGAUGUCAGUGGAUAAUGUUGUUAACUCCCCCCCCACCC